Molecule: ribosomal RNA, 447 nt
Filed under: uncultured bacterium
Lineage: Bacteria
Description: partial 16S ribosomal RNA
Rfam family: Bacterial small subunit ribosomal RNA
Source: RNAcentral
AGCGAACGCUGGCGGCAGGCCUAACACAUGCAAGUCGAGCGCCCCGCAAGGGGAGCGGCAGACGGGAGAGUAACACGUGGGAACGUGCCCUUCAGUUCGGAACAACCAAGGGAAACUUUGGCUAAUACCGGAUACGUCCGUAAGGAGAAAGAUUUAUCGCUGAAGGAUCGGCCCGCGUCUGAUUAGCUAGUUGGUGGGGUAAUGGCCCACCAAGGCGACGAUCAGUAGCUGGUCUGAGAGGAUGAUCAGCCUCACUGGGACUGAGACACGGCCCAGACUCCUACGGGAGGCAGCAGUGGGGAAUAUUGGACAAUGGGCGCAAGCCUGAUCCAGCCAUGCCGCGUGGGUGAUGAAGGCCUUAGGGUUGUAAAGCCCUUUCGGCGGGGAAGAUAAUGACGGUACCCGCAGAAGAAGCCCCGGCUAACUUCGUGCCAGCAGCCGCCGUAA